AAGGAUUUAAGUUAAAUAAACUAUUAACCUUCAAAGUUGAAAAUAUAUUCCAAAUUUAAACCUUA
RNAcentral lists this transfer RNA (65 nucleotides) under Changeondelphax velitchkovskyi. RNAcentral's name for it is "tRNA-Trp". The record is from RNAcentral. Lineage: Eukaryota; Metazoa; Arthropoda; Insecta; Hemiptera; Delphacidae.